RNAcentral lists this ribosomal RNA (1465 nucleotides) under uncultured organism. RNAcentral describes it as "SSU rRNA". It matches the Rfam family "Bacterial small subunit ribosomal RNA". The record is from RNAcentral.
GGCGGCAGGCCUAACACAUGCAAGUCGAACGGUAACAGGAAGCAGCUUGCUGCUUCGCUGACGAGUGGCGGACGGGUGAGUAAUGUCUGGGAAACUGCCUGAUGGAGGGGGAUAACUACUGGAAACGGUAGCUAAUACCGCAUAACGUCGCAAGACCAAAGAGGGGGACCUUCGGGCCUCUUGCCAUCGGAUGUGCCCAGAUGGGAUUAGCUAGUAGGUGGGGUAACGGCUCACCUAGGCGACGAUCCCUAGCUGGUCUGAGAGGAUGACCAGCCACACUGGAACUGAGACACGGUCCAGACUCCUACGGGAGGCAGCAGUGGGGAAUAUUGCACAAUGGGCGCAAGCCUGAUGCAGCCAUGCCGCGUGUAUGAAGAAGGCCUUCGGGUUGUAAAGUACUUUCAGCGGGGAGGAAGGGAGUAAAGUUAAUACCUUUGCUCAUUGACGUUACCCGCAGAAGAAGCACCGGCUAACUCCGUGCCAGCAGCCGCGGUAAUACGGAGGGUGGCAGCGUUAAUCGGAAUUGCUGGGCGUAAAGCGCACGCAGGCGGUUUGUUAAGUCAGAUGUGAAAUCCCCGGGCUCAACCUGGGAACUGCAUCUGAUACUGGCAAGCUUGAGUCUCGUAGAGGGGGGUAGAAUUCCAGGUGUAGCGGUGAAAUGCGUAGAGAUCUGGAGGAAUACCGGUGGCGAAGGCGGCCCCCUGGACGAAGACUGACGCUCAGGUGCGAAAGCGUGGGGAGCAAACAGGAUUAGAUACCCUGGUAGUCCACGCCGUAAACGAUGUCGACUUGGAGGUUGUGCCCUUGAGGCGUGGCUUCCGGAGCUAACGCGUUAAGUCGACCGCCUGGGGAGUACGGCCGCAAGGUUAAAACUCAAAUGAAUUGACGGGGGCCCGCACAAGCGGUGGAGCAUGUGGUUUAAUUCGAUGCAACGCGAAGAACCUUACCUGGUCUUGACAUCCACGGAAGUUUUCAGAGAUGAGAAUGUGCCUUCGGGAACCGUGAGACAGGUGCUGCAUGGCUGUCGUCAGCUCGUGUUGUGAAAUGUUGGGUUAAGUCCCGCAACGAGCGCAACCCUUAUCCUUUGUUGCCAGCGGUCCGGCCGGGAACUCAAAGGAGACUGCCAGUGAUAAACUGGAGGAAGGUGGGGAUGACGUCAAGUCAUCAUGGCCCUUACGACCAGGGCUACACACGUGCUACAAUGGCGCAUACAAAGAGAAGCGACCUCGCGAGAGCAAGCGGACCUCAUAAAGUGCGUCGUAGUCCGGAUUGGAGUCUGCAACUCGACUCCAUGAAGUCGGAAUCGCUAGUAAUCGUGGAUCAGAAUGCCACGGUGAAUACGUUCCCGGGCCUUGUACACACCGCCCGUCACACCAUGGGAGUGGGUUGCAAAAGAAGUAGGUAGCUUAACCUUCGGGAGGGCGCUUACCACUUUGUGAUUCAUGACUGGGGGUGAAGUCAUAAC